GAUGAAGAACGCAGCGAAAUGCGAUACUUGGUGUGAAUUGCAGAAUCCCGUGAACCAUCGAGUCUUUGAACGCAAGUUGCGCCCGAAGCCAUUAGGCCGAGGGCACGCCUGCCUGGGCGUCACACGUCGUUGCCCCCCCAUCUACUCCUUCGGGAUUGCGGGGGGCGGAUGAUGGCCUCCCGUGCGCCUCGUCGCGCGGUUGGCAUAAAUGCCAAGUCCUCGGCGACGCACGCCACGACAAUCGGUGGUUGCGAAACCUCGGUUGCCCGUCGUGUGCGGUCGUCGCGCAUCGAGGGCUCGAAAAAAUUGCCGGGCUCCGGCUCGGCUUUCAACGCGACCCCAGGUCAGGCGGGGUUACCCGCUGAAUUUAAGCAUAUCAAUAAGCGGGGA
RNAcentral lists this unclassified non-coding RNA (390 nucleotides) under soil metagenome. Its description in RNAcentral is "partial contains 5.8S ribosomal RNA, internal transcribed spacer 2, and large subunit ribosomal RNA". The stretch from base 1 to 122 matches the Rfam family "5.8S ribosomal RNA", at positions 35 to 154 of the family's 154-position model. The record is from RNAcentral.